Haplochromis burtoni (Burton's mouthbrooder) is the source of this 1848-nucleotide long non-coding RNA. RefSeq lists it as uncharacterized. Lineage: Eukaryota; Metazoa; Chordata; Actinopteri; Cichliformes; Cichlidae. The record is from RefSeq and is a predicted model, not a curated record. The transcript is spliced from 2 exons.
UGGCAGCAUUACAAGAGACAAAGGCUUUCCAUCAAAUGAUAUCUUUUUUGCUCUCCAGGCAUCACGGAUGAUUUUAUAUAGUUGAUCACAUAUCACUGUAGGUGUCGCGGACAGAAAUGUCAACACUUUACGCUGCUGGCCAAAGAAGUUGUCACAGCAAAAAUGUGUGUUGAACUGGCGCCUGGUCCACGCUGGGGGACAGGGUGGGGAUAACAGGUUAGGAGGAACUGUGAAAUGUCAUUGUGGCACCUCCAGGAAUUGUCAUCACUUUGAGAGAGCCAGAGGCUGGAGUGAAGAGGGCAUCAUAUAUUUUCAGAGCCAGGCGUGCUGCAGUAUUGGGCCAGAGCUGCUUCCCAUCAAUCAUAAUGUGAAAUACGCGGAGCGCUUUAUUCAGGCUUUCGGGCUUUCUCACCACACACAAAAGACAAACAGAGGCUAAUUACUACAAUAUAUCAGUAUACACUUUACUGAGAAAUAUGGGUUUGUGCAUAUCAACGGUGUGCUUGAGCAUAUAGUUUUGAUAUUAAAUCUUCAUUACUGCCACUCAAGUCUCAGGACCCUCGGGAACCAUAAGAAUAUGACACCUAUGCACACUUUAGAAGAAUAGUUUAACUGUAGAUCAUGUCGAUACACAACUGGCCGUGGUCCAACCACCACAAUUGCUGCAAGGCUGGAAUUUAGAGCUCCUCUUUUCCUGGAGUAAAAAAAACAAUUCCAGUUGAACUGAAAGAGAAUCACCAACACCUUUUUUUUUAUUUUGUAUGCCACUUUCUUAAGUUUGCAUCUUCUAGCAUGUAUAUUUGUGUUCCCUGAGGUGUGUUUGUCUGUGUGUGUGGGAGAGGGCUUGUGUUUCCUCAGUGUCUAAUGCUGAUACUCGCUGCUGCAGCAGUGACACUGCACUUUUGCCAGGCAUGCUAUGUUUUGUGAUAGCUGUGUACACACCCUGGAUUGUUUAAUGUGGUGGUCCCAGGUGCAGUUUAUUUGAAUCGCCUUCACAAUGAGAGCAGCCUCUGGAAAAUCUGAAUUCCUUCCUUUAUUUUGUUUUAGAGCCAAUUAGCAAACAGCUUAAUGUUAAUAUGAUUGGAAGAUUACACCUUGUAAAGAUCAGCGUGUUAAGUUGUCAUUUGUGCAUAUGUGAAACUGCUAACUUUAGCAUGUAGCGGUGCAUCACACAGCAACAGGCAUUGCUAUGAUCUUCUAGCAUUGUUACGUCCAGCUGAACUGUUCAAAUAGAACCUAACAUCACUGUUGUUUUUAUUCUUUUUAAUUGAUGUUUACAAGAUUGUAACAUACAUGGUGAAUGUGUGUCUAAAUGGUUGACUUUGAGUGUAACACUAGCUUACUGUAAACCUGCACCGGUUACAACAGCUGACAUCUCUCAACCAUUUAUCUUAAACAUCCAAAAGGUCAGUCAUUUUUUAGCUCCCCCACUGCUUACAUUUUGACUUUUACUUGACAGCAGCGGUACACAGGAUACGCUGCUUGUGCAACCAAUGUGUGAGAGAUCGUCAGCUACGCUAGUGAUAUGAUGGCCAAAAUAAAACUCAGGCCUCGAUCUGUCAGAAAGCAGGUUCUUGUCAGUGUUGCUCAAGAGACUUGAAUGUGUGGGAAAUGGUUGUGAGAAAGAAUGAGGCCUCCCUCACUGGGGGAGCAGCAGGGCAGGACGCAAAUUUUUAGGAGCAAGCUAACAUGUUGGUUUCUGAGCAAUGAUCGAGCUGCGACACGCCCAUUACCUCACACUCAUUCACAUGAUUCACACAUGAUUCAUGCAGAAUAAGUGCAGGACUGUACUUGAAGUUGAAUAUCUGUGAUAAAACCUGAACAGUAAACCAUUUUUUUUUUUUUUUU